GAUGAACGCUGGCGGCGUGCUUAAUACAUGCAAGUCGAACGGAAAGGCCACUUUCGGGGGGUACUCGUGUGGCGAACGGGUGAGUAACACGUGCGUAACUUGCCUAUGUCUUUGGGAUAACUUCAGGCAACUGGGGCUAAUACCGGCUAGGUGAUCCUGUUGCACGGUGGGGGUUGGAAUGUUUCGGCGGCUGGGGGUGGGCUAGCGGUGUAUCCGCUUGUUGAUGGAAUAAUGGUUUACCAAGGCGUUGACGGGUAGCCGGACUGUGGGGGUGACCGGCGGCAUUGAGACUGAGGGACGGCCCAGGCACCUACGGGAGGCAACAGUGGGGAAUAUUGCACGAUGAGUGGAAGCCUGAUGCAGCAGCGCCGUGGGCGGGAAGACGGCCUUCUGAUUGUAAACCACUUGCGCUCGUAACGGAGCAUUGUGUGACGGUAGUGAAUAAGAAAGCACCGACUAACUACGUG
Molecule: ribosomal RNA, 467 nt
Filed under: uncultured bacterium
Lineage: Bacteria
Description: partial 16S ribosomal RNA
Rfam family: Bacterial small subunit ribosomal RNA
Source: RNAcentral